CAGCAGCCGCGGUAAUACCGGCGGCCCGAGUGGCGGUCACUAUUAUUGGGCUUAAAGCGUCCGUAGCCGGGUUGGGAAGUCCUCCGGGAAAUCUGGCCGCUUAACGGUCAGAAUGCCGGAGGAUACUCCCAGCCUAGGGAGCGGGAGAGGCCGAGGGUAUUCCCGGAGUAGGGGUGAAAUCCUAUAAUCCCGGGAGGACCACCUGUGGCGAAGGCGCGCGGCAGGAACGCGUCCGACGGUGAGGGACGAAGGCCAGGGGAGCAAACCGGAUUAGAUACCCGGGUAGUCCUGGCGGUAAACGAUGCGGACUUUGUGUCGGACAAGCUAUGAGCUUGUCCGGUGCCGGAGGGAAACCGUUAAGUCCGCCGCCUGGGGAGUACGGCCGCAAGGCUGAAACUUAAAGGAAUUGGCGGG
This 414-nucleotide ribosomal RNA is filed under the name uncultured microorganism. RNAcentral's name for it is "bacterial SSU rRNA". It matches the Rfam family "Archaeal small subunit ribosomal RNA", at positions 459 to 872 of the family's 1478-position model. The record is from RNAcentral.